This 301-nucleotide ribosomal RNA is filed under the name uncultured bacterium. RNAcentral describes it as "partial 16S ribosomal RNA". It matches the Rfam family "Bacterial small subunit ribosomal RNA", at positions 509 to 808 of the family's 1533-position model. The record is from RNAcentral.
CAGUCGCCACGGUAAUACGUAGGUGGCGAGCGUUGUCCGGAAUUAUUGGGCGUAAAGGGAGCGCAGGCGGACAUAUAAGUCCAUCUUAAAAGUGCGGGGCUCAACCCCGUGAGGGGAUGGAAACUGUAUGCCUUGAGUGCAGGAGAGGAAAGCGGAAUUCCCAGUGUAGCGGUGAAAUGCGUAGAUAUUGGGAGGAACACCAGUGGCGAAGGCGGCUUUCUGGACUGUAACUGACGCUGAGGCUCGAAAGCCAGGGGAGCGAACGGGAUUAGAUACCCCAGUAGUCCCUGUCUCUUAUACC